RNAcentral lists this ribosomal RNA (579 nucleotides) under Triticum aestivum (bread wheat). Its description in RNAcentral is "partial small subunit ribosomal RNA". The record is from RNAcentral. Lineage: Eukaryota; Viridiplantae; Streptophyta; Magnoliopsida; Poales; Poaceae.
AUGGAUGGAAAACAACAACGGGACAUAGUGGACCCUGGAUUCAAGCUUUGCGCUCCAGUUCUGAAGAGAGCAGUAGGUAGACCAAGGAAGAGUCGAAUCAAACCUUGCAGCGAAGCAGCUGGACUUGGAGCUAGGAAGCAUAAGUGCACAGGGUGUGGUGGGUCUGGUCAUUUCGGUAAGAAUUGUGAUAACACAGUAGAUCCAGCGUUCAGAGAGUGUUUCGAGGAUGGCUUUGAUGAAAAUGUUGGUCAGCAGCUGGUUGCCGCAACAGAUGAUCAAAAUGAUGGUCAACGGCCGGUUGCAUCAGAUGAGGAUUUUGAUGAGGUUCCAAAUGAUGAUGGUAAACAGCCGCAUGAUUUUGACAAUGAUCAAAAAUAUCCUCCAAAUGAUGAUUCAAGUGAGGCUCCAAAUUGUGAUCCAAGUGAGCCUCCAAAUGGUGAUCCAAGUGAGGCUCCAAAUGGUGACCAACCUUCCAUCGUUGUGAGUUCUGCUAGGUAUGUAAAUCUUGCAAAUACUAUUGUACAUUUAUCACUUGACAUGAUCUCAUUACCCUUUAUGUUUUGUAUAGCUCUGCAGUAG